RNAcentral lists this unclassified non-coding RNA (1417 nucleotides) under Hevea brasiliensis (rubber tree). Lineage: Eukaryota; Viridiplantae; Streptophyta; Magnoliopsida; Malpighiales; Euphorbiaceae. The record is from RNAcentral.
GCAUUUUUCAAAUCAUAGUCUAACAAAACCUAAGGUAACUCUAAUUUCCUCACACCAUAGAUGUACAGUAAGACCAACUCUGCAUUACUUCUCUGCAGAACUUGGAUUUCUAACGCAAAAACGCUCAUCACUUGCAACGUUGUGGAGAAAACUUUUCUUCACCGCCAACAUCAACGCCAUUGGUUUUGUUCCUUGGCUCAAGCUGGUGCAAACUCAUCUCAGAAGAUGAGUGAUAAUAGGUGCAAUCAUGUUACCCGUGUUCUUUUUUGUGGGCCUCAUUUUCCUGAUUCUCACAAUUAUACAAGAGAAUAUUUGCAAGGCUAUCCAUUUGUUCAGGUUGAUGAUGUUCCACUCGAAAGUGUGCCUGCUGUGAUUGGUGACUAUGAUAUUUGUGUGGUUAAAAGCUUCCGUAUGAACUCUGAUGUUCUCUCCCGUGCAAAGAGGAUGAAGCUCAUAAUGCAAUUUGGAGUUGGGUUAGAAGGUGUUGACAUUACUGCUGCCACAAAGCAUGGAAUUAAGGUCGCCAAAAUUCCGGGUGGUGCAACUGGAAAUGCUGCUUCAUGUGCUGAAAUGGCCAUAUAUCUCAUUUUGGGCCUCCUGCGUAAGCAACAUCAAAUGAAAAUUUCCGUGGAGCAGAAAAAGCUAGGGGAGCCAACUGGUGUCAACCUGCAAGGGAAAACGGUAUUUAUCCUGGGGUUUGGAAAUAUCGGGAUACAUUUAGCAAAGCGUUUACGCCCAUUUGACGUGAAAAUACUUGCUACAAAACGAAGUUGGGGCCGGCCUGCACAGGACUCGAGCAAAUCCGAGGCACCGUCUGUUGAGAAUGGUGGCUACGCUGACCUAGUUGACGAGAGGGGAAACCAUGCUGAUAUCUUGAAGUUUGCAAGCAAAGCUGAUAUUGUUGUAUGUUGCUUAGCUAUGAACAAUGAAACUAUUGGCAUCGUGAACAACGAUUUUAUAUCUGUCAUGAGAAAGGGUGCCAUUCUGAUUAAUAUAGCUCGAGGUGGUCUGUUGGAUUAUGAUGCUGUUUUAAGUCAUCUCAAAUCGGGACAUUUAGGAGGUUUAGGAAUUGAUGUUGCUUGGACUGAACCAUUUGAUCCCGAUGAUGCUAUCCUCAGAUUUCCAGAUGUUAUAAUCACACCCCAUGUUGCUGGUGUGACAGAAUUGUCUUAUAGAGACAUGGCCAAGGUUGUUGGAGACGUUGCUCUUCAACUCCAUGCUGGAAAACCUUUUACAGGAAUAGAGAUUGUCAAUUGAACCAAUCAGUAUGAUGAAAGAAUAAUUUCUUGCCAUUGCUCAAAGUAGUUUCUUUGAUUUUCAUAUAUAUACCUGUACUGGCAUAAGUAUUCGAAUAAACUAAGGUCUCAUUUGUUUAAUUGUUAAGACAAAAGUCUGAGUCUUAAUCAUUCAAAGUCAG